RNAcentral lists this ribosomal RNA (503 nucleotides) under uncultured bacterium. Its description in RNAcentral is "partial 16S ribosomal RNA". It matches the Rfam family "Bacterial small subunit ribosomal RNA", at positions 30 to 523 of the family's 1533-position model. The record is from RNAcentral.
AUUGAACGCUGGCGGCAGGCUUAACACAUGCAAGUCGAGCGGAGUGAUGGUGCUUGCACUAUCACUUAGCGGCGGACGGGUGAGUAAUGCUUAGGAAUCUGCCUAUUAGUGGGGGACAACAUCUCGAAAGGGAUGCUAAUACCGCAUACGUCCUACGGGAGAAAGCAGGGGAUCACUUGUGACCUUGCGCUAAUAGAUGAGCCUAAGUCGGAUUAGCUAGUUGGUGGGGUAAAGGCCUACCAAGGCGACGAUCUGUAGCGGGUCUGAGAGGCUGAUCCGCCACACUGGGACUGGGACACGGCACAGACUCCUACGGGAGGCAGCAGUGGGGAAUAUUGGACAAUGGGGGGAACCCUGAUCCAGCCAUGCCGCGUGUGUGAAGAAGGCCUUAUGGUUGUAAAGCACUUUAAGCGAGGAGGAGGCUCUUUUGGUUAAUACCCAAGAUGAGUGGACGUUACUCGCAGAAUAAGCACCGGCUAACUCUGUGCCAGCAGCCGCCGUAA